This is a non-coding RNA of Pteropus alecto (black flying fox), 74 nucleotides long. The record is from Rfam. Lineage: Eukaryota; Metazoa; Chordata; Mammalia; Chiroptera; Pteropodidae.
GGCUCCACAGUGUAGUGGUUAGCACGUCUGCUUUACACGCAGAAGGUCCUGGGUUAGCGCCCCAGGUGGAGCCA